UACGGAGGGGGCUAGCGUUGUUCGGAAUUACUGGGCGUAAAGCGCACGUAGGCGGCUUUGUAAGUUAGAGGUGAAAGCCCAGGGCUCAACCCUGGAAUUGCCUUUAAGACUGCAUCGCUUGAAUCAUGGAGAGGUGAGUGGAAUUCCGAGUGUAGAGGUGAAAUUCGUAGAUAUUCGGAAGAACACCAGUGGCGAAGGCGACUCACUGGCCCGAUACUGACGCUGAGGCGCGAAAGCGUGGGGAGCAAACAGG
RNAcentral lists this ribosomal RNA (253 nucleotides) under uncultured bacterium. RNAcentral's name for it is "partial 16S ribosomal RNA". It matches the Rfam family "Bacterial small subunit ribosomal RNA", at positions 524 to 776 of the family's 1533-position model. The record is from RNAcentral.